Molecule: long non-coding RNA, 1349 nt
Filed under: Gadus morhua (Atlantic cod)
Lineage: Eukaryota; Metazoa; Chordata; Actinopteri; Gadiformes; Gadidae
Description: lncRNA (ENSGMOG00000030053.1)
Source: RNAcentral
GUGGUUGUUCCUUUAACAGUGAAUUGUGUUUUAUUUUAGAAAUGUAAUCCAUCAUUGUAUGGAGUCAUUCUGGGGAUAGUGAAUGACCCAAAAUAUUGGAUACUCACAGUAAGUUAAACUAUAUCUUACCCUAUAUAUUCAUAUUUUAACGGCAACAACGGCUCCAAGAUAAAAAGAUGUCUACAGACCACAAGGUAACAGUUGUGUUCUAUGGCCUGACCCCGGCAGGCGGAAUGCUGUUAUUUAAUUUAACCAUUGGAGUAUGGGUGAAACAGGUGAAGGGAAUGACCUUGACUGAUGGGAGGAUGCUGUGCAGGUGUGUGAGAGCUGUGGUACUGUCCGUGGUGGUGCAUGAGUGCAGCUCGUGCUCUGGUGACUGGGAUCUGUGGUGCUUUCCAUUGUGCUGGACUGGAUGAUUCAGGAUUGCAUAAUAAUUUCCUGCUUUUUGUCUACUUCUCAGAGCAUUCAUGAGAGCAAGGAGCUGAAUGGUGUCCAGGUGGAAAGCAAACACUGUGCCACAUAGCUUACAGCAGGAUUUCACUUCAUGUGGAAUAUUUGCCAUCAAAGUAAGUUAUUGAAUUGCAUAUUUCUUUAUGGAAACAUGAAGCAGAUUUUGAAAAGGUCUAUUUUUUCAACAUUUAAACUCCUAGAGAGACAUACAGUUGAUGAAUAUUGAUUAAGUUAAACUGGGCCAGUAUGUUUUGAAUAUUCAUUUAUUCUAACAUGUUCUUAGUAUGCUGAGAAAGUCCUGGCAGAGGAGUCUACUACUUUCCCAAACUCUGAAGCGGCAGUGGUUAACUACAGAUGAGGAAAAUUCUGUAACACUUCUCAAUGAGGCUGAUGAUCUCAGUGAGCUGUGCCACUGCUGUGGAGAGGGAGAAGAAGCGCGAGGAGGAGGGUCUCAAGACAGACCUGAGGCCACUGACUGGAUCUAGUGUGUCACCUGUGGACGGUGGUACCACGAGGGUUGUGUUGGGAGGCCCGACAGAGAUCAUUUGUACAGCUGUCCUGCAUGCCCCCAGGCUCAAAUGUUCUAGUGACGUUUCUCAAGUUUUCCUGGUUCCAAUAAACGUCACUGGCGACUGACUGUGUUAAGUGUUAAUAUAUGUGUCAAGUGUUAAUAUAUGAUUACGGCCUUACUUUGAAGGGACAACGUGAUGACGUUACUACGUUCUUGUGAAGCAACGCGCGGGUCAACUGUCCCGUUGUUCUUUUGUUGUUGUUGGAACUGACUGGACAGUAUUCAGUCAUGUAUUCUAGAGAAUAAAUACGCCAAAGGCUAAAGAAAACAUGUCGAUCUGCUUAUUCUUCACCACACCAGAGAAGAGGAGUCACCGCUCCAUCGAAGC